UUAACAGGAUUAGAUACCCUGGUAGUCCACGCCGUAAACGAUGUCGACUUGGAGGUUGUGCCCUUGAGGCGUGGCUUCCGGAGCUAACGCGUUAAGUCGACCGCCUGGGGAGUACGGCCGCAAGGUUAAAACUCAAAUGAAUUGACGGGGGCCCGCACAAGCGGUGGAGCAUGUGGUUUAAUUCGAUGCAACGCGAAGAACCUUACCUGGUCUUGACAUCCACAGAACUUUCCAGAGAUGGAUUGGUGCCUUCGGGAACUGUGAGACAGGUGCUGCAUGGCUGUCGUCAGCUCGUGUUGUGAAAUGUUGGGUUAAGUCCCGCAACGAGCGCAACCCUUAUCCUUUGUUGCCAGCGGUCCGGCCGGGAACUCAAAGGAGACUGCCAGUGAUAAACUGGAGGAAGGUGGGGAUGACGUA
RNAcentral lists this ribosomal RNA (417 nucleotides) under uncultured bacterium. RNAcentral describes it as "bacterial SSU rRNA". It matches the Rfam family "Bacterial small subunit ribosomal RNA", at positions 769 to 1186 of the family's 1533-position model. The record is from RNAcentral.